GAUGAACGCUGGCGGCGUGCCUAAUACAUGCAAGUCGAGCGAACAGAUGAGGAGCUUGCUCCUCUGACGUUAGCGGCGGACGGGUGAGUAACACGUGGAUAACCUACCUAUAAGACUGGGAUAACUUCGGGAAACCGGAGCUAAUACCGGAUAAUAUAUUGAACCGCAUGGUUCAAUAGUGAAAGACGGUUUUGCUGUCACUUAUAGAUGGAUCCGCGCCGCAUUAGCUAGUUGGUAAGGUAACGGCUUACCAAGGCAACGAUGCGUAGCCGACCUGAGAGGGGGGUGGGCCACAGAGGAAAGGGACAACGGUCCAAACCCCGAGGGGGGGCAGCAGAAGGGAAUUUUCCGAAAUGGGGGAAAGCCGGAAGGAGCAACGCCGGGGGGGGGAUGAAGGUCUUCGGAUCGUAAAACUCUUUUAUUGGGGAAAAAAAAAUGGGUAAGUAACUAUGCACGUUUUGACGGUACCUAAAGAGAAAGCCACGGCUAACUACGU
This 496-nucleotide ribosomal RNA is filed under the name uncultured bacterium. RNAcentral's name for it is "partial 16S ribosomal RNA". It matches the Rfam family "Bacterial small subunit ribosomal RNA", at positions 28 to 506 of the family's 1533-position model. The record is from RNAcentral.